CCAUCCCCAUCAAACGACUCUCUCUGCACCCCCCUCAUUUACUUGGAUGACUGCUCUUGCCUCUGUGUCUCCGUGGCCACUGCCCCCGAUCCAUUCCCAAGCAGCAGCCAGCGAGAUGUUUUAAAAAUACAAAUUGAGUCAUGCCAUUCUCAUGCUUAAAACCAUCCGGUUAUUUCCUUUUCAAAAGCACUGAGAAUAAAAUGCACCACUUUCCCCAACUUUCAAGACUAGUUGGUGUGGCCUUUAUUGAACCCAUCUCACCUUGGACCUUUCUCCUCCCUUAUUUCCUAGACCCUGCUCAUGUGGCCAUGUUUUUGCUCCCCAUGAUUCGCCAUGAUGCUUUCCACUCCGUGGUCCUUGCCUCUGAUUUCCUGCUGCCCCUUUGCCUAGAAGGCUCCUCCUCAAGUGACGGGUUUUCACUUUUGUUCCUCGGGUUCCUCAGAGCAAACCUCUCUGAUGACUGUUUCAAAGGGAGCUGUUGUCAUCACCACGCCCACUUCAUUUUCACAAAUGCUGCUCCUGUCAGUCGUGAUUAUUGGCUUGUUUGCCUCCUCCUAUUGUCAUGUCUUCCUCCACAAAAACGUGAGCUCCAAAGAGCAGAUACUGGCUUGGUCUUAUUCACUGUGGCCCUAAUCACUGCCGGUCCACCAUGGAUAUUCAGUAAGCAUUUGUUUAAUGAACAGAUGAAUCGUUUUCAGAUUAUUUAAGCUAUAUUCGUUUCUCCUUGACUGUCUGACCGUCUACUCCUUGGUAAAGUAUCCAACCAUAGAGGGAGGAACAUGUUUCAUUUUCAACUUAAAUAUGUGUUCAAACAUGUUUUCAUUUUCAACUUAUAUAUGUGUUCAACUUAACAUAUUGAAGGGAGAUUGUUGUUCUAUCUUAGCUCUUGCGUACUCUAUCCCUUCAUGGUGGCAAAUGACGAGAUAUUAAGUUUUAAGAGCCAUCAGACUUUCAUUAGCAAACAUUUCCUAACCUUUUCUGUUUUCUAGGUCUUUUCUGAAUUUUAUUUAAUCUGAAUUUAGAAUGUAGUCAUCUCUACGGAAGCCGUUGCUUGCAUGUAAUUUUCGAUUGUGGAAAUUCUAGAAAUCCUACAAAAUUAACAUUUUUGUUUAUUUCAAAUACAUUGGUUCCAAGACUAUGUCAUGCUAA
RNAcentral lists this long non-coding RNA (1149 nucleotides) under Marmota monax (woodchuck). Lineage: Eukaryota; Metazoa; Chordata; Mammalia; Rodentia; Sciuridae. The record is from RNAcentral.